RNAcentral lists this ribosomal RNA (497 nucleotides) under uncultured bacterium. RNAcentral's name for it is "SSU rRNA". It matches the Rfam family "Bacterial small subunit ribosomal RNA", at positions 26 to 518 of the family's 1533-position model. The record is from RNAcentral.
AGGACGAACGCUGGCGGCAGGCCUAACACAUGCAAGUCGAGCGGCAGCGCGGGUAGCAAUACCUGGCGGCGAGCGGCGGACGGGUGAGGAAUACAUCGGAAUCUGCCUUGUUGUGGGGGAUAACGUAGGGAAACUUACGCUAAUACCGCAUAAGACCGUAAGGUGAAAGCGGGGGAUCGAAAGACCUCGCGCGACAAGAUGAGCCGAUGUCGGAUUAGCUAGUUGGCGGGGUAAUGGCCCACCAAGGCGACGAUCGGUAGCUGGUCUGAGAGGACGACCAGCCACACUGGAACUGAGACACGGUCCAGACUCCUACGGGAGGCAGCAGUGGGGGAAUAUUGGACAAUGGGGGCAACCCUGAUCCAGCCAUGCCGCGUGGGUGAAGAAGGCCUUCGGGUUGUAAAGCCCUUUGUACGGGAAGAAAAGCUUGGGGUUAAUAACCUUGAGUCAUGACGGUACCGUAAGAUAAGCACCGGCUAACUCGUGCCAGCAGCCGC